Molecule: ribosomal RNA, 568 nt
Filed under: uncultured bacterium
Lineage: Bacteria
Description: bacterial SSU rRNA
Rfam family: Bacterial small subunit ribosomal RNA
Source: RNAcentral
GAUGCGUAGGGGUUCUGAGAGGAAGGUCCCCCACACUGGUACUGAGACACGGACCAGACUCCUACGGGAGGCAGCAGUGAGGAAUAUUGGUCAAUGGGCGCGAGCCUGAACCAGCCAAGUCGCGUGAGGGAUGACGGUCCUACGGAUUGUAAACCUCUUUUGCCGGGGAGCAAGCGUGCGUUCGUGAACGCGCGUCGAGAGUACCCGGAGAAAAAGCAUCGGCUAACUCCGUGCCAGCAGCCGCGGUAAUACGGAGGAUGCGAGCGUUAUCCGGAUUUAUUGGGUUUAAAGGGUGCGUAGGCGGGAUGCCAAGUCAGCGGUAAAAAUGCGGUGCUCAACGCCGUCGAGCCGUUGAAACUGGCGUUCUUGAGUGGGCGAGAAGUAUGCGGAAUGCGUGGUGUAGCGGUGAAAUGCAUAGAUAUCACGCAGAACUCCGAUUGCGAAGGCAGCAUACCGGCGCCCUACUGACGCUGAGGCACGAAAGCGUGGGUAUCGAACAGGAUUAGAUACCCUGGUAGUCCACGCAGUAAACGAUGAAUGCUAACUGUCCGGUGCGAGUGAGCGCUGG